CCUUGUACACACCGCCCGUCACACCAUGGGAGUUGGUUUUACCCGAAGCUGGUGCGCUAACCGCAAGGAGGCAGCCAACCACGGUAAGGUCAGCGACUGGGGUG
Molecule: ribosomal RNA, 104 nt
Filed under: uncultured bacterium
Lineage: Bacteria
Description: partial 16S ribosomal RNA
Rfam family: Bacterial small subunit ribosomal RNA
Source: RNAcentral